AACCUGUUUUAUACGGGAAGAAACCCUGUUCUGAUCGGGGCUGACGGUACCGUAAGAAUAAGGAUCGGCUAACUCCGUGCCAGCAGCCGCGGUAAUACGGAGGAUCCUAGCGUUAUCCGGAUUUAUUGGGUUUAAAGGGUGCGUAGGCGGAAUAAUAAGUCAGUGGUGAAAUCCUGCAGCUUAACUGUAGAAUUGCCAUUGAUACUGUUAUUCUUGAAUGCAGUUGAGGUAGGCGGAAUGUGUAAUGUAGCGGUGAAAUGCUUAGAUAUUACCCAGAACACCGAUUGCGUAGGCAGCUUGCUAAACUGUGAUUGACGCUGAGGCACGAAAGCGUGGGUAGCAAACAGGAUUAGAUACCCUGGUAGUCCACGCCGUAAACGAUGAUUACUCGAUGUGUGCAAUAUAUCGUACGCGUCUGAGCGAAAGCAUUAAGUAAUCCACCUGGGGAGUACGGCCGCAAGGUUGAAACUCAAAGGAAUUGACGGGGGCCCGCACAAGCGGAGGAACAUGUGGUUUAAUUCGAUGAUACGCGAGGAACCUUACCUGGGCUUAAAUGUAUUCUGACGUUCCGGGAAACUGGAAUUCCCUUCGGGGCAGAUUACAAGGUGCUGCAUGGUUGUCGUCAGCUCGUGCCGUGAGGUGUCGGGUUAAGUCCCAUAACGAGCGCAACCCCUAUUGUUAGUUGCCAGCGGAUAAUGCCGGGGACUCUAACGAAACUGCCAGUGUAAACUGUGAGGAAGGUGGGGAUGACGUCAAAUCAGCACGGCCCUUACGUCCAGGGCUACACACGUGUUACAAUGGUCGGUACAAAGGGCAGCUACCACGCGAGUGGAUGCUAAUCUCCAAAACCGAUCUUAGUUCGGAUUGAAGUCUGCAACUCGACUUCAUGAAGCUGGAUUCGCUAGUAAUCGCACAUCAGCCAUGGUGCGGUGAAUACGUUCCCGGGCCUUGUACACACCGCCCGUCAAGCCAUGGAAGCCGGGGGUACAUGACGUCCGUAACCGCAAGGAG
Molecule: ribosomal RNA, 1011 nt
Filed under: uncultured organism
Description: bacterial SSU rRNA
Rfam family: Bacterial small subunit ribosomal RNA
Source: RNAcentral